UUUGGCAGCUAUAUCACCCUGUAGCCUAAGACCGGUUACUCACUUAGUUUAAGCAGGGCUGAGCCUGGUCAGUACCUGGAUGGGAAAGCACAUGGGAACACUAGGUUGCUGUUGGAA
Danio rerio (zebrafish) is the source of this 117-nucleotide ribosomal RNA. Lineage: Eukaryota; Metazoa; Chordata; Actinopteri; Cypriniformes; Danionidae. The record is from Ensembl.